Molecule: ribosomal RNA, 563 nt
Filed under: Meyerozyma guilliermondii
Lineage: Eukaryota; Fungi; Ascomycota; Pichiomycetes; Serinales; Debaryomycetaceae
Description: partial large subunit ribosomal RNA
Rfam family: Eukaryotic large subunit ribosomal RNA
Source: RNAcentral
GCAUAUCAAUAAGCGGAGGAAAAGAAACCAACAGGGAUUGCCUUAGUAGCGGCGAGUGAAGCGGCAAAAGCUCAAAUUUGAAAUCUGGCGCCUUCGGUGUCCGAGUUGUAAUUUGAAGAUUGUAACCUUGGGGUUGGCUCUUGUCUAUGUUUCUUGGAACAGGACGUCACAGAGGGUGAGAAUCCCGUGCGAUGAGAUGCCCAAUUCUAUGUAAGGUGCUUUCGAAGAGUCGAGUUGUUUGGGAAUGCAGCUCUAAGUGGGUGGUAAAUUCCAUCUAAAGCUAAAUAUUGGCGAGAGACCGAUAGCGAACAAGUACAGUGAUGGAAAGAUGAAAAGAACUUUGAAAAGAGAGUGAAAAAGUACGUGAAAUUGUUGAAAGGGAAGGGUUUGAGAUCAGACUCGAUAUUUUGUGAGCCUUGCCUUCGUGGCGGGGUGACCCGCAGCUUAUCGGGCCAGCAUCGGUUUGGGCGGUAGGAUAAUGGCGUAGGAAUGUGACUUUACUUCGGUGAAGUGUUAUAGCCUGCGUUGAUGCUGCCUGCCUAGACCGAGGACUGCGAUUUAUC